Long non-coding RNA from Eublepharis macularius, 2176 nucleotides. RefSeq lists it as uncharacterized. Lineage: Eukaryota; Metazoa; Chordata; Lepidosauria; Squamata; Eublepharidae. The record is from RefSeq and is a predicted model, not a curated record. The transcript has 3 exons.
GUGAGCCUCUCCACGCGCGGGCGCGCGCGGGCGCGACGCCCCUCUCCCCGUCGCCUGGCUGCUCGCUACCUGGCGCCCCCAUCACCGGGGGCGCCCCUCGCGCGUCCCCUCAGCGCUUAGGCGCCAACGCUGCGAUGCUAAGCGGAGUUGCGCCAGUCUAACCCCUUGGGGCGCCCGUUUUCCCCGAAGGAGCCCGGGCGCUUUCCCUCUAGCCUGCUUCAGAGCAUUAAAACAGAUUCCAAGCAUGGGCAACCAAAGGUCAGAGGGCCUCCACUACUGUACCAAGUGUGUUCCCUCACAGUGAACAGACCCAGUUGGCAUUUGGUACGGAAAUCAGACAAGUACUAGGUUUACUACAGCAACAAGGGCCUACCUACCUCAACACCCUCAACGAUGCCAUCAUUCGCGCCAACCUGCCCCAAAGCAGGGGGAACCUGGCUGCCUGCGGUGAGUGGCCCUGGAAACGGGGGUCCCAUACGGCAUAAAAAACUCAAGACAGAAAUCAGAAGUGGUGCUGAGUUAAUUUCUUUGGUUUUUAGCUUUGUGGAUCUCCAAAGCUGUGUCUUGAUUUGGGAUGGUAAAAAGCCCCGUAGUUGCUGACUUGCUAAAUCUGUCACUCAGGAAGCCAUGGAUGCUGAAUAGGGACUAUGAAUGGUUAUCACAUUAUCACAGGUAACAGAUUUCCUUUACAGAGGCGGGGUCUGGGGGAGCUCAGUGGCACCUGGCGUGGGCUUUCGGGGACCACAGAUCUCUUUGUCAGAUGCAUCUGGCAGGGAAAGCUGUGGUUAUCGAAGGCUCAUACUGCAUUGGAAUUGGAUGGUCUAGCUGUUUGGCUGCUACAAACUAACAUGGCAAACUCCUUUGAAGCCAACUGAUCCACACACCAAAAGGAGAUGUUUACAUAUACUAGCAAAGGAAUGUUUUGGUUGCACCCUCCCCCUUUCCCCCCCUAAUUGCCUCUUCUCUCUCCUCCCCUUCUCUCCCUCCUCUUCUGUAUUUGACCAGUCUCUGUAUCAGGCAUCUGACGAAGAGAACUUGAUUCUCGAAAGCUUAUGCUACAAUAAAAUUGGUUAGUCUUAAAGGUGCUACUGGACUCUUUUUGAUUCAGGAAGCCAUGGUGCUUCUCUCUCCCUCUCCCUCCCUCUCUCCUUCAAUCCCGCCCCCCUCUCAAGGCUGUCAGUGGGAAGCACUCCUGGGUCAUAUGGAAACUGAGUGGACUGAGAAGCAAUCUGAGCCUGUGCUCAAAUUGUUUUGGCAUUGAGGAGCUGGAUUGCCAUAUCAGGAGAAUCCAUCUGUGAGAAACUUGAUGCUGCUUGGUGGUAUGUGCCUAAGUGGGAGUGAAAGGAAACUCCCUGAACAUCCCCUCUUCCCCUUAUGUGCUCCAGGUAUCACUCUGACCAACCACCCAAUGAACAAGACUAGUGCCAGCCUCUCUUUGGAUUACCUGUACGCAGGGCUUUUUUUCAGCAGGAACGCAGUGGAACGGAGUUCCGGCACCUCUUAAAAAUUGUCACAUGGCCGGUGGCCCCACCCUCUGAUCUCCAGACAGAAGCGACUUUAGAUCGCCCUCUGCGCCUGGUGUGGAGGGCAACCUAAACUCCCUUCUGUCUGGAGAUCAAGGGGUGGGGCCACCGGCCAUUUGACCAUUUUCGCCAAGGGCAAUUCAAACCUGAAAAAACUCCCCCUUUGUUCCAGCUGACCCAAAGUGAUGUCAUUGUGAGGUCUUGAGUUCCACCACCUCUUUUCCCAGAAAAAAAGCCCUGCCUGUAUGUAUCCUUUUUUAAUGGAUAGCUCACCUGGGCUAUCUAGGUGAGGCCAUAAAUGAAGUAAAUAAAAAUAAAAAAUGGCUAUCACUGGAAGAUCAAACUAGUUCUGAGUAUUAAUUAUUGUUCUGUGGAAAAUAGCAUUAAAGGCCAUGUUUACACAGCUUGGUACUUAAGUACUGAGCCAGAUUCUUGCAAGGAUAAAUUGUUUAAUGGAGGUUCCUUCCCAAUACAUCAUGUCCCGUUGCUCAAUAUCUCAAGAGCAAAGAUGGUCCCUUCCGGUGAUGGAGACAAGAUUUUGAAUGGCGCGAACUGCCUGCAUAGUGAUAAUGGAACUGUAGCAAUGAACCAAAUUUCAGAGGGUUAGCCGUGUUAGCCUGUUGUAGCAAAAUAAAACAGAAUUGUCGUAGUAC